UGAUUUUAACGUGUUUAAGGUGUCGUAUUACGACUUAAUAGGGAAUCCGGUUAAAAUCCGGAACUGUACCCGCAACUGUAAAUGCUGAUGAAAUAAGUAAACCACUGUAGAGAAAUCUAUGGGAAGGACUUAGAGUAAAGCGAAGCAUGAGUCAGGAGACCUGCCUUUUUCACUGGUUUGCC
RNAcentral lists this non-coding RNA (182 nucleotides) under Bacillus sp. (in: firmicutes). Lineage: Bacteria; Bacillati; Bacillota; Bacilli; Caryophanales; Bacillaceae. RNAcentral also lists the same sequence under 1 other name. The record is from RNAcentral.